UACGUAGGAUGCAAGCGUUGUCCGGAUUUAUUGGGUUUAAAGGGAGCGUAGGCGGCCUAUUAAGUUAGUGGUGAAAACGGUCGGCUUAACCGGUUACCCGCCAUUGAUACUGAUAGUCUUGAGUGCGACAGAGGGUGUUGGAAUGUGUGGUGUAGCGGUGAAAUGCUUAGAUAUCACGCAGAACACCAAUUGCGAAGGCAGAUGCCUAUGUCGUAACUGACGCUGAGGCACGAAAGCGUGGGGAGCAAACAGG
Molecule: ribosomal RNA, 253 nt
Filed under: uncultured bacterium
Lineage: Bacteria
Description: partial 16S ribosomal RNA
Rfam family: Bacterial small subunit ribosomal RNA
Source: RNAcentral